This 687-nucleotide ribosomal RNA is filed under the name uncultured organism. Its description in RNAcentral is "bacterial SSU rRNA". It matches the Rfam family "Bacterial small subunit ribosomal RNA", at positions 83 to 787 of the family's 1533-position model. The record is from RNAcentral.
GGCGGGGGAUCAGCGGCGAACGGGUGAGUAACGCGUGAGCAACCUGCCCCCGACACCGGGAUAGCGGUGGGAAACCGGGGUUAAUAUCGGAUGCUGUGCAACGGCGUAUGCUGUUGUAUGAAAGAUUGAGUUCGGUCGGGGAGGGGCUCGCGUCCCAUUAGCUUGUUGGCGGGGUAACGGCCCACCAAUGCUAAGAUGGGUAGCUGGUCUGAGAGGAUGGUCAGCCACACUGGGACUGAGACACGGCCCAGACUCCUGCGGGAGGCUGCAGUCGAGAAUAUUCGGCAAUGGGCGCAAGCCUGACCGAGUGAUGCCGCGUGGGGGAUGAAGGCCUUCGGGUUGUAAACCCCUGUCACCAGGGACGAAAUUUGACGGUACCUGGAGAGGAAGCACCGGCUAACUACGUGCCAGCAGCCGCGGUAACACGUAGGGUGCGAGCGUUAUCCGGAAUUACUGGGCGUAAAGGGUCCGUAGGGGGUCUGCCAAGUCUGGUGUGAAAGCCCGUGGCUCAACCACGGAAGUGCAUUGGAAACUGGUGGACUGGAGUGCACGAGGGGAAAGCGGAAUUCCCGGUGUAGCGGUGGAAUGCGUAGAUCUCGGGAAGAACACCUGCGGCGACAGCGGCUUUCUGGCGUGACAGUGACCCUGAGGGACGAAAGCGUGGGUAGCGAACGGGAUUAGAUACCC